Molecule: small RNA, 557 nt
Filed under: Pan troglodytes (chimpanzee)
Lineage: Eukaryota; Metazoa; Chordata; Mammalia; Primates; Hominidae
Description: processed transcript
Source: RNAcentral
CUGCUGCUUCUGGGCCCUACGCGCGCCUUGCGCAAUGCCACCCAGAGGAUGUUUGAAAUUGACUAUAGCCGGGACUGCUUCCUCAAGGAUGGCCAGCCAUUUCGCUACAUCUCAGGAAGCAUUCACUACUCCCGUGUGCCCCGCUUCUACUGGAAGGACCGGCUGCUGAAGAUGAAGAUGGCUGGGCUGAACGCCAUCCAGACGUAUGUGCCCUGGAACUUUCAUGAGCCCUGGCCAGGACAGUACCAGUUUUCUGAGGACCAUGAUGUGGAAUAUUUUCUUCGGCUGGCUCAUGAGCUGGGACUGCUGGUUAUCCUGAGGCCCGGGCCCUACAUCUGUGCAGAGUGGGAAAUGGGAGGAUUACCUGCUUGGCUGCUAGAGAAAGAGUCUAUUCUUCUCCGCUCCUCCGACCCAGAUUACCUGGCAGCUGUGGACAAGUGGUUGGGAGUCCUUCUGCCCAAGAUGAAGCCUCUCCUCUAUCAGAAUGGAGGGCCAGUUAUAACAGUGCAGGGCAUUCAUCAUGAGGUAAUAAGCCUAUUUAUGACUGUUUGGAAGAU